Small nucleolar RNA from Diabrotica virgifera virgifera (western corn rootworm), 70 nucleotides. RefSeq annotates it as small nucleolar RNA SNORD18. Lineage: Eukaryota; Metazoa; Arthropoda; Insecta; Coleoptera; Chrysomelidae. The record is from RefSeq and is a predicted model, not a curated record. The transcript has a single exon.
UUGCUAUGAUGAUAUUUUUUGGUCCGUGUUUAUGAAGUCUUAUGAUUUUACCAUAACCACCUCUGAUGUA